Molecule: non-coding RNA, 70 nt
Organism: Podarcis lilfordi (Lilford's wall lizard)
Lineage: Eukaryota; Metazoa; Chordata; Lepidosauria; Squamata; Lacertidae
Source: the annotation of a GenBank genome assembly
GGAUGGGCUAAGUGGUUAGAGCACCUGCCUUGAAUGCAGAAGGGCUUGGGUUCAACCCCUGGUAUCUCCA